This 2399-nucleotide unclassified non-coding RNA is filed under the name Hevea brasiliensis (rubber tree). The record is from RNAcentral. Lineage: Eukaryota; Viridiplantae; Streptophyta; Magnoliopsida; Malpighiales; Euphorbiaceae.
CCCUUUGGGCAUAGAAAAUAAAAUACAAGCAAGCUCAUGAGGAUUGCAGUUAGCCAGUUACAGGAAAGCUAGCUUGUUGAGAGUAUAAUAAUUAAAUUAUAUUUUAGCAAUGGCGAAGACAUUAAAUUACGUAAAGGACAAGACUAAGCUCGGUUUAUUUUAGCAGAAUAUUUCAAAUAGAACGAAACACCAAACCCCACCUUUGGUUUUACACGCCAAGUGUUGAUUGGCUAGAUGCUAACUGCUAUUUGAUUAUGUUUCUGUCAAAUUCUAUCCACUUUUCCAAACAAAAAAGGUGCAACGACUGGGCUACCCCUGCUAUGCCUUUUCACUGUCUCACCUUUUUGACCCAUUUUGUCACCAUCAUCGCCAAUCCAUCCACACAUCUCUUCUUCGUAUGCCAUAGUUCUCUUGCGGUCCACGCGUCGCCCUUUGCGCCUUUCUCUAACCCAACUAGGGUAACCUUACAGCCUGUUGUUUUAACCAGUCUUUCAGUGACCGAAUCCAUGUGCGCUAUCGUUACUACUCCACUAUACGACGACCCCUUGUGAUGCUAGCUUUUCCAUCUUUUCUUCAUUUUUCCUACGUGUCGCAGCUGGACCAUACUCUCUCUUCACACCGCCACGUGUUCACGGAAUCGCAAUUCCAGGAGAGAGAAAUUUUUUGACGAAAGCACACUUGGUGGUCCAUCCGAUACCUUUAAUACGGACGUGUAUGUCUCUUAUUGGACCACUUUUAAACUAUAUGGGGCCACUGGGCCUUCGCUUUUUAGCUUCCUCUAGACACGUUUAUUGACAUCCCCAAAAACUCGAUAUAUCACGAUAAGCAAUUGCUACGGAAGAAGAAGAAGAAAGGCGGAGAUGAAUAGUCUGGCUGGACACGUGGCUUAAGUUCUGGGAAUGGUGGUCGGUGACGGGCAGAAAGGGCUGCCCUUGGAGCUGGCUUGCCCAGGAGGCUUACAUGAGAAAUCGAGAAAACACAACACGUUGCCUUUCUUCUCGUACGUCUCUCUGAAACGGAACGAGAAAAACACUUUUUUUUUCCCCCUAAUUUGCCUCUCUCUCUUUUGUUUAUCUAUGGUCUGUUAUUCUCUCUUAAGAAUUACCGAUAAUGAUUGAUUGCCCACGGCGACAUGACGUCCGCUGAGGUUUCCUUCCGGGAGGUUUGUCAAUGACUGACGCGCUUGUGUCGAAGAAUGCUUAGGGACGAGGACGAAGAUUCGCUGGAGAAAUGCACGGAACGCCGUCGUAGGAGAAUCGAGAUGAGGAGGCUCGCCUCCACAUCCGAAGAUGGUACGACUCCUCCGGUAAGUGAAAGCCAUGUGGAGAGUUCUAGUUGUGUUGCCAAAAGAAAGCGAAUUCGGACUGCAGAGACGGAAGGUUCCCCGGAGGCAUGCUUACCAGUCUCGUCCGAAGAUAACGUGGAGAGCGAGGCGGUCAAUAAGCCACUUACCGGACCUUCUCUGGGUGAGCCGACUUUUGGGACUAUGUCAGUAGCGGGGAGGUCACGUGAGAUGGAGGAUGCAAUAGCUGCAUGCACAAGCCUUUGCAGGCCAGAGAUCAAUGGAAGGAGACCGGUGCAUUUUUUCGGUGUGUAUGACGGUCAUGGCGGGUCUCACGUGGCAGAAUUAUGUAGGGAGAGGAUGCACGUGUUCUUGGAGAGAGAAUUGAUGCGCGUGGACCACACUGACAGUAGUGAGAAUGGUGACAGUAGCAGCAGUGGCAACUCAGGGGAACGUCAACUCCAAAGACAAGGAGGAGUUGAAGAGAAGUGGAGGAGGGUGUUGAAGAGGAGCUUCGAGUUGAUGGACGAGGCGGCAUUAAGCAAGUGCGCGUGUGGGGGCGUUGGAUUCGAUUGUGGUUGCCAUCUCAUGGAGGUGGCGCUCGGAGGGUCCACUGCAGUUGUGGCGGUCUUGACUUCAGAGAACAUUGUUGUUGCCAAUUGCGGUGACUCACGCGCCAUCCUCUGCCGGGGCGGGAGGGCCGUUCCAUUAAGUUUCGAUCACAAGGUUAGUUUGUAAUUUGAACGCACUGCGACGGUACUCUGGCGCUGUACUUGUUGAUGCGAAAGUGAAACGCAUGGAUUUGCCAUCUGUGGUGUUUGAACCACACAGGUGGCUUUUGUUUCUAUUCGACAUUGCCAAAGGCUAGAUUCCUGUUUUUUCUUCAGGCCAUUCCCUUGCCGUUGUAUAUAAAAAACACAAAACAAAACAAAACUCUCAUAGCUCUCACCUUAGCUGGUAGUUUAGGACGCGUGUAUUUUUACGUGUGUGUAUUAUUUCUAACGCCGUGAGAGAACAGAACGCGGCGAUUUAUUAAACUCGGAUGAUCUCCAAUCCUAUUAAACAUUAGGAUCUCCAUUAUCUGCUAUAUAAGCUUCAAUAAUAUCGUGACUUUGCG